CCUACGGGGGGCAGCAGUGGGGAAUAUUGGGCAAUGGACGCAAGUCUGACCCAGCAACGCCGCGUGAAGGAAGAAGGCUUUCGGGUUGUAAACUUCUUUUAAGGGGGAAGAGCAGAAGACGGUACCCCUUGAAUAAGCCACGGCUAACUACGUGCCAGCAGCCGCGGUAAUGCGUAGGUGGCAAGCGUUGUCCGGAUUUACUGGGUGUAAAGGGCGUGCAGCCGGAGAGGCAAGUCAGAUGUGAAAUCCGCGGGCUCAACUCGCGAACUGCAUUUGAAACUGCUUCCCGUGAGUAUCGGAGAGGUAAUCGGAAUGCCUAGUGUAGCGGUGAAAUGCGUAGAUAUUAGGAAGAACACCAGUGGCGAAGGCGGAUUACUGGACGACAACUGACGGUGAGGCGCGAAAGCGUGGGGAGCAAACAGGAUUAGAUACCCCGGUAGUC
This 442-nucleotide ribosomal RNA is filed under the name uncultured bacterium. RNAcentral's name for it is "partial 16S ribosomal RNA". It matches the Rfam family "Bacterial small subunit ribosomal RNA", at positions 338 to 795 of the family's 1533-position model. The record is from RNAcentral.